This 76-nucleotide transfer RNA is filed under the name Boudabousia marimammalium. RNAcentral describes it as "Actinomyces marimammalium tRNA-Ala". It matches the Rfam family "tRNA". From Rfam's summary of the family: Transfer RNA (tRNA) molecules are approximately 80 nucleotides in length. Their secondary structure includes four short double-helical elements and three loops (D, anti-codon, and T loops). Lineage: Bacteria; Bacillati; Actinomycetota; Actinomycetes; Actinomycetales; Actinomycetaceae. The record is from RNAcentral.
GGGGCUAUAGCGCAGUUGGUAGCGCGCUUCCAUGGCAUGGAAGAGGUCGGGGGUUCGAUUCCCCCUAGCUCCACCA